This is a long non-coding RNA of Helianthus annuus (common sunflower), 5251 nucleotides long. RefSeq lists it as uncharacterized. The record is from RefSeq and is a predicted model, not a curated record. Lineage: Eukaryota; Viridiplantae; Streptophyta; Magnoliopsida; Asterales; Asteraceae. The transcript is spliced from 3 exons.
AGCGAGUAGAGACAUGAAACCAGAAAAAAACGAAUCUCAUCAACAAAAACAGUCCCAAGGAGAAUAGAUAAAGAAAUUGAAGCCGUAACUUUUUUCCUUUGCUGACUCCAUUGAUUGUGUGUGUAUGGUCACUGGAGCAAUUACCGCCAUGCCUCUCCACACGUUGAUAUUCGCUGACAAAUUUGGAGGAAAUCAAGAUAACAAGGUCAUUGUUCAUCAAGCCCCCUAAGGGCGGUUGAUUGUAGCCUAGAAUCAUCUACUUAUUUCGUGGCGGUUUGGUUGUAGCUCAAAAUGGUAACAGGAAUGGAUCUUAGACGCAGGUGUCGUAACUAGAAGUUUAGAUGUCAUCCACUUUUGUUGGUUUGUAACCUAGUCGAAGGUUGUGUUUUAAAAAAAACUUGAAUAAAUAAUGUUUGUAAUACAUAAAUUUUAUGAAUGGAUGAACAUCGUUUUGAUCAUGUAGUUUGUUUAUUACGAUUGAAUGCAAUGAUAUUAAACCAGUCACACAUCAUACGCUUCCGCAAAAGACAGGGUGUGACACAUAUAACAUUAAGUAUGAACCCAGGACUACCGUUAAGUCUCAAAGGGAAGCUGAAUUAGAGGUUAACAACUUGAGGAGACCAAGAAUCCUUGGACACUCUUCACAGAUGGAGCCUUAAAUGUCAAAGGAUUUGGACUAGGCUUACUACUAAAAUCGCCACAGGGGGACAUAAUACCCCAAUCUAUUGCAUGUGAGUUUCAAACAACUAAUAAUGAAGCGGAAUAUGAGGCCUUAAUAGCAGGUCUACAAUUAGCUAAACACAUGAGGAUCAGGUAUCUUCAAGUUUAUACUGAUUCAUUAUUAAUUACUAACCAUUUUAAUGGAUCAUAUGCUGUUAAAGGUGAGAAACUAAUUAAAUAUUUAGAAAUAGUCAAGAAAUUGGCAAAUUCUUUCGAUUUUUUUCAGCAUAAUACAGGUACCCAGAGAAGAAAAUGCAGAGGCAAAUGCCUUAGCAAAUCUAGGUUCAUCUUUGAAGAUACCAGAGGAUAUCUGCAUUCCCUAUCAUUCAUGUCCUUUCUCCUGCAACUAAAGAAAAUGAUGCAAUGGAGAUAGUUGACGAUACUACAAUUGUACCUAGUGAUGAUGCACAGCCGCAUUCAGGAUCCUGGAUCCUUCCAAUCAUGAAUUACAUCCAAAAUGGGGAAAUCCCUACAGGGGAAAAUCCUAGAGCUUUCAGAAUCAAGGUAUCUCAAUUUACUAUAAUGAAUAACAUACUAUACAAGAGAUCCCUUGCAGGUCCCUAUUUGAGGUGCAUUGAAGGUCUAGAAAUCCAUGAAGUCUUAAAGGACUUUCAUGAAGGAGAUUGUGGAAAUCACACUCGGGGCAGAGCACUAUUCUCAAGGAUCCUUUUAACAGGAUACUAUUGGGCUAAAAUGAAGAAGGAUGUUGUGGAAUAUGCAAGGAAGUGUGAUGCCUGCCAAAGACAUAGCAACAUACUUCACCAACCAGCAGAACCUUUAUAUCCAGUGGUUUCCUCUUGGCUCUUCAUGAAGUGGGGAAUGAAUAUAGUAGGUAAACUCCCUAAAGCAACUGGAGGAAAAGUAUUCAUGCUGGCCGUGACAGAUUACUUCUCCAAAUGGAUAGAAUCUGAAGCUUUUUUUCAAGUCAGGGAAAAAGGAAGUUAUAUCCUUCAUUAAACGAAAUAUUAUUACUAGAUUUGGAAUUCCUGUCGAAAUUAUUUGUGACAAUGGAUCCCAGUUUAUUGGGAACAAAACUACUAACUUUUGUGACAGCUGGGGGGAUUAAGAUGAUCACAUCAACACCAGUCCACCCACAAGCUAAUGGUCAGGCAUGGGCUGAAGAGCUACCAUAUGUCCUUUGGGCAGAUAGGACAACUCCAAAGAAUGCCACCGGCCAAACUCCAUUCUCUCUGGUCUUUGGAACUGAGGUAGUGAUCCCUACAGAAAUGGUGGUUCCUACAGCAAGAACAAGCAUCUGUGAUCCUGAAGCAAAUGCUGAAAACAUGAUUCAAGACCUAGACACAGAAGAUGAGCUCAGAGAUUUAACAAGAAUGAGGAUGGCUAGCUACCAACAAAGAGUGGCUGGAUCGUACAACAAGAAUGUCAGAGUUAGAAGAUUUCAAGUUGGUGAUUUGGUAUUGAGGAAAACAUUCCAAAACACUACAAAUCUAGCUGAUGGCAAGUUAACACCAAAGUGGGAAGACCCCUUUCUAAUAGAAGCAGAAGCAGGAAAGAGGGCAUAUCGCUUGUUAACAAUGGAUGGUGAUCUCCUACCAAGAGCUUGGAAUGUUGUUCAUCUCAAAAAGUACUUUAUGUAAGAAGGAUCAGGGAUCCUCAGUGAUGCCAGUAUUCUGAUUAAGGAUCCGGGAUUCUCAUAGGAUACAUGAUUCUAUCUUUGGUAACAUUUUAUUUUCAUUGACAUUUAUCUUAUACUUAUUACUUAUCAUAAGCCAAAGAUGUUAAACACUUAAAAUCUGUUUUCCUAAAGUUUAAAAUUUUGCAGAGUUGUUUUCACUUUAUGGAAGAUCAAAGUGAUUGGCCAACUCUCCAAAGGUUUUGGGUUUAUCCCCAGUUUUUGCGCUUGUCCCCAGCUAAGGUAUCUUAUACCUUCUAAGGUUUAAAGGUUUUCACCUUUCACACAAAUUAGAUUUUGACACCCCGCCAGUAGCGCACGUUUAUCCAAGUAUGGUUUGAGGCAAUGGGACCAGUACACGCUUAGUGGCUGACAAUUUCAUUGCUGUUGGCCAUAUGUAGGAUCUCAAGUAUAAUGGUAGACGUACCAUACAUCCGUUAUCGUAAGGUUUCUAACAUUUUCAUGUUAGCUAAGGUUUUGGCAUUUUCAUGUCACUCACGUUGGGAAAGUCGCCAGUUUGGGCCAAAACCCAGUUUACUCCCGUUUAUUUGGGCUUGUCCCCAGUUAUUUGGGCUUCCCUAGUUUGUUGGGCUUCUCCCUAGUUAUUUGGGCUUGUCCCCAGUUUAUUUGGGCUUGUCCCCAGUUAUUAUGGGUUCAUUCCCAAUUAUUUGGCUUAGCCCCAUGUUUGUUUUCCUUACAGGUUCUUGUAGCUUUAGAGUUAUACAAGUUCUGACAUUAAGGAUCCUGGAUCCUUGAAACUUUACUUUCCGUAGUUUAUUUAUUCAGCAAUAAUUUAUAAGGAUUUAGAAUCCUAACUUGGAUUCUCUGGUAUGUUGUAUCCUAACUUUUUCCAUGUUGCAAGUUAUCUCUUAUCCUUUUUGGUUAAGGAUCAAUGAUCCACAUUUAUCCGAACACUUAAAGUUUUAUAUUAAAAGUUUAACAUCAUCAUAUUUCCAGUAAUUUUCCAGUUGAUUGGCGAUGAUAUCUUUGAAAAAAGAGAACAUAAACAUAACAAUAAAGGAAACAUAAAGAGUAAAGGAAUAACAACAUAUAUAGCCAAAACAGUUUAAUAUUAUUUAAACCCGUUCAUUGUAUACUAAGAUCAUCUGCCCUGGAUUUCACCAGCAAAACGUGGACCAUCCACCCAAGCCAGAUAAGGGCUGUCUAAUAGUUAAUUGUUCAUGCAGGAAAUAAAAAUGUUGGAAAGUAAAGAAGGCAGGAUAACAGUGGCUUCAUCCUCCAAACAGAGGAUCCCUCCACCAACUGUCAUCCUACAUAUUGUUCAAAGGAUCAGUGAUCCUUAACCCUCGCAACUAUUGUUCAAGAUUAUUACAGGCCAAAUGUUUAAAACACCAACAACUACAGAAAAACAUAAAAACUGGGCUCCGGCCUAGGCAUAAAUAUCCAUAAUUGCCCAUUUAUGCAGCACCACCAGCAGCAGCUGCUUCAUCUCCUCCUGCUUCUCCACCAGCAUCACCUUCAGCUACAUCCAUAGGCUCGUUGACUCCACUCGUACCAGCCUUCAAAGUUAGCACCUGCUCUUCCUCAACAUCACCAACAAGGUUCUGAAGGGCCAUCUUUAAUCCGUCCACAUCCCAGCUAGAGCGAUCAAAGGAAGGAUCCAUGGCUUCCUCAGCCAUUUUGAUCCUGGCCUACAAGACGGUCUGGGCAGCACAUACCUUAGCACUUUCAAUUGCGUUGACCUGCGCCUCAUGGAUUCCAAUCUCCGCAAACAUCAGCUCCUUGUCUAGCCCUGUCUUCUCCUUCUCCAAUUGGGCCAACUUCUUGUCCUUGGCUGCUGUUAUCUUGCGACAAUCGGAGAUCUUUUCCUCUGCCUCGGUCAAAUUCUUGUCGUGGAUGACUUGAAGACGGACAAACCCCUACAGAAUACAAGUGAAGAAGAUCAGGAUCAGGGAUCCUUAGCAACGGAAGAAACAAAACAUUUAUGAGGAUCCAUGAUCCUUACCUUCGUGAUCACUUUAUGGAAGUGGCGCUCUACUUGGAAGGCAUUAUUAGUGUUGUCAGCAGGCUUCUUCCUUUUGGAGUCGGUCCUAGUACGAAUAGACACCGUCUUUGGCUCCGGUAUGCUUGGGCCUCUGGCCAGCUCCUUCUUCAAAGAGCAUCGAGAAAUCAAGCUAUCAAUGUCACCAAGGUCAAACUUGGACACGGACUUAGAACCAGACUUUUGAGCACCUAUUCAGACAACAAAACAAAAGAUAAUUAUACGUGAUCCUUAACUUCCAUACAUACAUAACAUUAUAACAUUUACUAAUACAUACUUGACAUUGUUAAGGAAGUUGAGGAUGCUUCUACAAGAUCUUGGGGUUUUGGCUGGAAGGUUCUGAUAGUGGAAUCCAAAGCCCAGAAUGCUGCUAAUCGUUGUUUAGUACCAGGUUGCUCAGCUAGCGAAGAGAAGUUAUCCGCUGCAAAAACAAAGUAAACAGAAUCAGUUACCCUCAAUAGAAGAUUGAAAGUUCCUACAGUUCUAUCCUAAGGAUCCUAUAUCCUACCCUUCAAGACCCACUUUUUGGGGAUGGUGUUUCCUAAGGGAAUGGUGUUUCUCCUAACAAAGAAAACCUGGUUUCGCCAGUUAGUAUCAUUCUUUGUGGUUUUGAGGAGUAGGAGUGGAUGUUGUGGUUUGGCUUUGGCUUUGAACAAGAAUAUGUGGGAAACAUGGGAGACCAGAUUGUAAAGACAUGCUAGUUCGGAAAGGUUGAAGCUCAGCCCCUCAUCUCUAAUGAUUCGCUCAAAGGUGUACAUCACUUUCCAUUACAUUGGCAUGGCCUGACUAUAAUACAGACCGGUCAAUGUAAAGAAGUAGGGCUGUAAACGAACCGAACGAACACGAACAAGGCCUUGUUCGUGUUCGUUCGUUAAGGAAAUAAAUGUGUUCACUAA